Molecule: ribosomal RNA, 492 nt
Filed under: uncultured bacterium
Lineage: Bacteria
Description: partial 16S ribosomal RNA
Rfam family: Bacterial small subunit ribosomal RNA
Source: RNAcentral
AGUGAACGCUGGCGGUAGGCCUAACACAUGCAAGUCGAACGGCAGCACAGUAAGAGCUUGCUCUUACGGGUGGCGAGUGGCGGACGGGUGAGGAAUACAUCGGAAUCUACUUUUUCGUGGGGGAAAACGUAGGGAAACUUACGCUAAUACCGCAUACGACCUACGGGUGAAAGCAGGGGAUCUUCGGACCUUGCGCGAUUGAAUGAGCAGAUGUCGGAUUAGCUAGUUGGCGGGGUAAAGGCCCACCAAGGCGACGAUCCGUAGCUGGUCUGAGAGGAUGAUCAGCCACACUGGAACUGAGACACGGUCCAGACUCCUACGGGAGGCAGCAGUGGGGAAUAUUGGACAAUGGGCGCAAGCCUGAUCCAGCCAUACCGCGUGGGUGAAGAAGGCCUUCGGGUUGUAAAGCCCUUUUGUUGGGAAAGAAAAGCAGCAGGUUAAUACCCCGCUGUUCUGACGGUACCCAAAGAAUAAGCACCGGCUAACUUCGUG